Molecule: ribosomal RNA, 325 nt
Filed under: uncultured bacterium
Lineage: Bacteria
Description: bacterial SSU rRNA
Rfam family: Bacterial small subunit ribosomal RNA
Source: RNAcentral
GGGCGCAAGCCUGAUGCAGCGACGCCGCGUGAGGGAUGGAGGCCUUCGGGUUGUAAACCUCUUUUAUUGGGGAGCAAGCGAGAGUGAGUUUACCCGUUGAAUAAGCACCGGCUAACUACGUGCCAGCAGCCGCGGUAAUACGUAGGGUGCAAGCGUUAUCCGGAAUUAUUGGGCGUAAAGGGCUCGUAGGCGGUUCGUCGCGUCCGGUGUGAAAGUCCAUCGCCUAACGGUGGAUCCGCGCCGGGUACGGGCGGGCUUGAGUGCGGUAGGGGAGACUGGAAUUCCCGGUGUAACGGUGGAAUGUGUAGAUAUCGGGAAGAACACC